RNAcentral lists this non-coding RNA (104 nucleotides) under Chromera velia. Lineage: Eukaryota; Chromeraceae. The record is from RNAcentral.
AGAAAGAAAGAAAGAGAGAAAGAGAGAGAAAGAGAGAAAAGUGCGACCCAGAGUGCGACAUCACCGUACAUCUGUCCCUCUUUUCUUUCCCCCUUUAUUUCCCU